This 301-nucleotide ribosomal RNA is filed under the name uncultured bacterium. RNAcentral describes it as "partial 16S ribosomal RNA". It matches the Rfam family "Bacterial small subunit ribosomal RNA", at positions 509 to 807 of the family's 1533-position model. The record is from RNAcentral.
CAGCAGCCGCGGGAAUACGAAGGGUGCAAGCGUUACUCGGAAUUACUGGGCGUAAAGCGUGCGUAGGUGGUGGUUUAAGUCCGUUGUGAAAGCCCUGGGCUCGACCUGGGAAUUGCAGUGGAUACUGGAUCACUAGAGUGUGGUAGAGGAUAGUGGAAUUUCCGGUGUAGCAGUGAAAUGCGUAGAGAUCGGAAGGAACAUCUGUGGCGAAGGCGACUAUCUGGGCCAACACUGACACUGAGGCACGAAAGCGUGGGGAGCAAACAGGAUUAGAUACCCCUGUAGUCCCUGUCUCUUAUAC